This 1164-nucleotide long non-coding RNA is filed under the name Cucumis sativus (cucumber). RNAcentral's name for it is "long non-coding RNA (CSAT_LNC001253)". The record is from RNAcentral. Lineage: Eukaryota; Viridiplantae; Streptophyta; Magnoliopsida; Cucurbitales; Cucurbitaceae.
UAGUAGUAGCAGAACCAAGAUGCUUAAAAGUUUACCCCACUUUUAAGUAGACAAAGGCACUUUUCUCUCUCACACUGCUUCUUCCACAAGCAAAUUACAACUUGUUUUUAUACCAAUAAACGCCUUUCUUCUCACCUUCAUCAGGCUCCACGUAAAUGCACUCUUUUGCUUCUCUCCACAUUGCCUUCACAACCGGGGUCCCAUCAAAGUGAUAGUAUUGGCCCAAAAUUGGCUUGAUUGCCUUGGUUGCUUCCAUGGCAUGGUAAUGUGGCAUUGUGGACACCAAAUGAUGAGCCACAUGAGUGUCCGUAAUGUUGUGGAAGACCUUGUUCAAGAUGCCGUAGUCUCUGUCUACGGUUGCCAAGGCACCUCUUAGCCAGUCCCAUUCGGAGGAAUCGUAAUGUGGCAGUGCUGUGUGAGUGUGUUGAAGGUAUGUGAUUAGGACGAGGAAUCCAUUUACGAUCAGAAGUGGAACUCCGUAAACACAAACCACCCAAGCCAAUCCUUUGGCUAGAACAAGGCGGUAGAGCCCAUAGGUGACAGUUAGCAGCCCAGCGUCCGAAAUGAAUAUCUGUAACCGCUCACGGUCAGUGUAGAUGGGACCGUAUGGGUCAUAGUGGCAGGCAAAACGGUCGUAGGGACGGCCAGAGACGUUGAAGGCCAAGUAAAGAGGCCAGCCUAGGACCAGUUGGAUGGUGAGGGUGAGGACACGGCCUACAGGGUUGUUGAUGUAUGUGGAGUACCAUUUCAUGUCGGAUUUCUGUUUAGGGACAAAGACUUCAUCUCGUUCAAGAGAUCCGGUGUUGGAAUGGUGUCGACGGUGGCUGUAUUUCCAAGAGAAGUAGGGGACCAUGAGAAACGAGUGGAGGAUAAGGCCAACGGUGUCAUCCAGCCACUGGUAAUCACUGAAGGCGUGGUGGCCACACUCGUGGGCAAUGACCCAAACGCCAGUAAGGACGCAGCCUUGGGCAGCCCAGUACAAAGCCCAGGCUGGAUAAAAUAAGAGGCUAGGAAGAUUUUGGAAAUAUGUGGUUGCAAUGUAAUAGAAGAUAGAGGCUAAGGUUAGGUCAUAAACGACAUAGGAGAAAGAACGAAGGACUGAACGUUGAAAGCAAUGAGGUGGAAUAGCUUUCUUGAGCUCACCAAGUGUGAAUGGGGGUUUUG